RNAcentral lists this long non-coding RNA (761 nucleotides) under Cricetulus griseus (Chinese hamster). Its description in RNAcentral is "lncRNA (ENSCGRG00015042770.1)". The record is from RNAcentral. Lineage: Eukaryota; Metazoa; Chordata; Mammalia; Rodentia; Cricetidae.
GCUGGUUUCGCGAAAAUACCGGCAUUUCCUGCCUGAGGUGGGGGAAGGGUCUUUUUUUCCCGCGUCCCGAGUCCCCUGUGGCCUUCCCGCACCCCGCGCUUGGCGAGUUUACGCCAUAGGGUGAAUUGCGACCCAGUGCUGCCAGCACUGCUGGACGUUAGCUUCGCUCUGGUCCUGCAGUGUGGACACUGACGCUUCUGCAGCCGGAGCGCUUUAGCGGCUUUGUCUUAUUCUUAGCCUUACACACAGGCUCAGACGUGGGAGUGGGGCGUCUGCGGGGCUGGAGGCUGAGAGCCCCGCAGAUCCUCUUCCUCCUCAGCAGUCUCCAAACAAUGGAAGGAAAGAGAACACGUGCCUGUUAGACUCAGUACCCCACCUCUCUCAUUGGGGUGCCUAUUGUGCCCAGGAAGGGAAAGCAGCAGUUAAACCUAGGACCUCAGGACUGGGUUCAGACAUCCUGGGUGUGGCCGCUUUUCCUUCUUGGAGAUAAACAAGGAAUGGAGAUAAACGGGCCGGGCUGCGUGGAUCGCGCUGUCAUGCGGAGUCACGAGGAUCACAGUGUGUGGCUCUCACUGUCCUGGAACUCACUAUUGUAGACCAGCCUAGCCUAGAACUCAAGAGAGAUCUGCCUGCCUCCCCAAUCUCUGCCCCCAAAGUGCGGGGAUUACAGCUGUGGACCACCACAGCCAGCUGGGUUUUUGUUUUGUGAGCACAUCCCAUAGGGGCCAGUCCUCAUGUCUUGUAUCAUCACAUCUGACAAG